Molecule: long non-coding RNA, 490 nt
Organism: Tupaia belangeri chinensis (Chinese tree shrew)
Lineage: Eukaryota; Metazoa; Chordata; Mammalia; Scandentia; Tupaiidae
Exons: 3
Source: RefSeq, a predicted model, not a curated record
AUAGUGGGGUAACAGAUGUGGCAUCAGCAGCCUUGGGUUUUGUAAACAGUCAAAACUCUGACUCUGAUCAGCCUGGGAGAAAUGAGAAAGGCCAGUCUUCCUGGGAUGUGAACCCUGAGGGGCAAGGCUAAUUACCGUGGUGCCCCACUGAGCUGUUCAUCCAUCGGGGCGUCUACAUUGCUAACGAUGUUAAACCGGGAAGCCUGUGAGAUCUUGUGUUGCAGUGUGGUUUGGCCCUAGCGUUCUUGCAUGCUCGCUCAGGGUAGAAGAUUAGCCUGUUUGCAUGCAGCCUGCAGGCGGACGCUGCCUUGACGUGAAGCAUGUUCUGGGAGCUUGACACACCCCUUGGCUGAACUCCUCCCCAGAGCUGUCGGGCCUCAUUCACCGGGAUACUAGGUUGAAAAAGCUUGUCGACGAACGGGAAUGCUUAUUGGAACAGGACCACCAGAUGGCAUAGCAGUUAAGUCGUUGGACUUCCGCAUGGCUGGCC